Molecule: ribosomal RNA, 526 nt
Filed under: Fusarium tricinctum
Lineage: Eukaryota; Fungi; Ascomycota; Sordariomycetes; Hypocreales; Nectriaceae
Description: eukaryotic LSU rRNA
Rfam family: 5.8S ribosomal RNA (bases 154-307)
Source: RNAcentral
GUGGUAACGGAGUUAACUCCCAACCCCUGUGACAUACCUUAAUGUUGCCUCGGCGGAUCAGCCCGCGCCCCGUAAAACGGGACGGCCCGCCAGAGGACCCAAACUCUAAUGUUUCUUAUUGUAACUUCUGAGUAAAACAAACAAAUAAAUCAAAACUUUCAACAACGGAUCUCUUGGUUCUGGCAUCGAUGAAGAACGCAGCAAAAUGCGAUAAGUAAUGUGAAUUGCAGAAUUCAGUGAAUCAUCGAAUCUUUGAACGCACAUUGCGCCCGCUGGUAUUCCGGCGGGCAUGCCUGUUCGAGCGUCAUUUCAACCCUCAAGCCCCCGGGUUUGGUGUUGGGGAUCGGCUCUGCCCUUCUGGGCGGUGCCGCCCCCGAAAUACAUUGGCGGUCUCGCUGCAGCCUCCAUUGCGUAGUAGCUAACACCUCGCAACUGGAACGCGGCGCGGCCAUGCCGUAAAACCCCAACUUCUGAAUGUUGACCUCGGAUCAGGUAGGAAUACCCGCUGAACUUAAGCAUAUCAAAA